AUGGCCGCCAUGUUCUGCUCACCGUCCCCUCACCCUGUCCGCUGCGCACGGUGGGGUGUUGCUCCAGGACCUUGCUUCAGACGUGUUGCCCUGGAUGUUAAUUUUGAUCAAAAUUCAUACAGAUUUUGACGACAGAUUAAAUGUGUGGUCUGAGUGCAAGAGAUGAGUCAAGAAUGAC
Molecule: long non-coding RNA, 178 nt
Organism: Orcinus orca (killer whale)
Lineage: Eukaryota; Metazoa; Chordata; Mammalia; Artiodactyla; Delphinidae
Exons: 3
Source: RefSeq, a predicted model, not a curated record